RNAcentral lists this ribosomal RNA (462 nucleotides) under uncultured bacterium. RNAcentral's name for it is "partial 16S ribosomal RNA". It matches the Rfam family "Bacterial small subunit ribosomal RNA", at positions 28 to 507 of the family's 1533-position model. The record is from RNAcentral.
GAUGAACGCUGACAGAAUGCUUAACACAUGCAAGUCUUUGGCGAAGCUGUGCUUGCACAGCCUAGCCAAGGCGGACGGGUGAGUAACGCGUAAGGAACUUGCCCUGCAGUCAGGGAUAACAGACGGAAACGACUGAUAAGACCUGGUAAAGUCAGGCGGACUCAUGUCCAGCCUGAUGAAAAAAGAUGCUGCAGGAGAGCCUUGCGUCCUAUUAGCUUGUUGGUGGGGUAACGGCCCACCAAGGCGAUGAUAGGUAGCCGGCCUGAGAGGGUGGACGGCCACAAGGGGACUGAGAUACGGCCCUUACUCCUACGGGAGGCAGCAGUGGGGAAUAUUGGACAAUGGGGGCAACCCUGAUCCAGCAAUUCUGUGUGCACGAUGAAGGUUUUCGGAUUGUAAAGUGCUUUCAGCAGGGAAGAAAAAAUGACGGUACCUGCAGAAGAAGCGACGGCUAAAUACGUG